AGUCUGCAACCCGACUCCACGAAGCUGGAUUCGCUAGUAAUCGCGCAUCAGCCACGGCGCGGUGAAUACGUUCCCGGGCCUUGUACACACCGCCCGUCAAGCCAUGGGAGCCGGGGGUGCCUGAAGUUCGUGACCGCAAGGAGCGACCUAGGGCAAAACUGGUGACUGGGGCUAAGUCGUAACAAGGUAAC
This 191-nucleotide ribosomal RNA is filed under the name uncultured bacterium. Its description in RNAcentral is "partial 16S ribosomal RNA". It matches the Rfam family "Bacterial small subunit ribosomal RNA", at positions 1302 to 1500 of the family's 1533-position model. The record is from RNAcentral.